RNAcentral lists this transfer RNA (65 nucleotides) under Plesionika lophotes. RNAcentral describes it as "tRNA-Tyr". It matches the Rfam family "tRNA". From Rfam's summary of the family: Transfer RNA (tRNA) molecules are approximately 80 nucleotides in length. Their secondary structure includes four short double-helical elements and three loops (D, anti-codon, and T loops). Further hydrogen bonds mediate the characteristic L-shaped molecular structure. tRNAs have two regions of fundamental functional importance: the anti-codon, which is responsible for specific mRNA codon recognition, and the 3' end, to which the tRNAs corresponding amino acid is attached (by aminoacyl-tRNA synthetases). tRNAs cope with the degeneracy of the genetic code in two manners: having more than one tRNA (with a specific anti-codon) for a particular amino acid; and 'wobble' base-pairing, i.e. permitting non-standard base-pairing at the 3rd anti-codon position. Lineage: Eukaryota; Metazoa; Arthropoda; Malacostraca; Decapoda; Pandalidae. The record is from RNAcentral.
GAUAGAGUAGCCUAAAUUAAGGUAAUAGACUGUAAAUCUAUAGAUGAAGGUUACUUCCUUUAUCA